GGCGAGUGGCGAACGGGUGAGUAAUAUAUCGGAACGUGCCCAGUCGUGGGGGAUAACGUAGCGAAAGCUACGCUAAUACCGCACACGAUCUACGGAUGAAAGCGGGGGACUCGUAAGAGCCUCGCGCGAUUGGAGCGGCCGAUAUCAGAUUAGGUUGUUGGUGAGGUAAAAGCUCACCAAGCCUGCGAUCUGUAGCUGGUCUGAGAGGACGACCAGCCACACUGGAACUGAGACACGGUCCAGACUCCUACGGGAGGCAGCAGUGGGGAAUUUUGGACAAUGGACGCAAGUCUGAUCCAGCAAUGCCGCGUGCAGGACGAAGGCCUUCGGGUUGUAAACUGCUUUUGUACGGAACGAAAAGGUCUGCUUUAAUACAGUGGGCUCAUGACGGUACCGUAAGAAUAAGCACCGGCUAACUACGUGCCAGCAGCCGCGGUAAUACGUAGGGUGCGAGCGUUAAUCGGAAUUACUGGGCGUAGAGCGUGCGCAGGCGGUUUUGUAAGUCUGUCGUGAAAGCCCCGGGCUCAACCUGGGAAUUGCGAUGGAGA
Molecule: ribosomal RNA, 548 nt
Filed under: uncultured Comamonadaceae bacterium
Lineage: Bacteria; Pseudomonadati; Pseudomonadota; Betaproteobacteria; Burkholderiales; Comamonadaceae
Description: bacterial SSU rRNA
Rfam family: Bacterial small subunit ribosomal RNA
Source: RNAcentral